RNAcentral lists this unclassified non-coding RNA (380 nucleotides) under soil metagenome. RNAcentral describes it as "partial contains 5.8S ribosomal RNA, internal transcribed spacer 2, and large subunit ribosomal RNA". The stretch from base 5 to 119 matches the Rfam family "5.8S ribosomal RNA", at positions 40 to 154 of the family's 154-position model. The record is from RNAcentral.
GAUGAGAACGUAGCGAAAUGCGAUAAGUAAUGUGAAUUGCAGAAUUCAGUGAAUCAUCGAAUCUUUGAACGCACCUUGCACCCUUUGGCAUUCCGAAGGGUAUGCUCGUUUGAGUGUCAUUGUACUCUCACACUCCCACUCUUUUGGAUUGGGAGCGGUGGACUUGGGUGUUGCUGCUUCACUGUGGCUCGCCUCAAAUGGAGUAGUGCAACUCUCGGUUGGACAUAGUACGGCGUGAUAAGUGUCUUCGCCGGCGCCUCACUAGAGGGUGGCCGAUCGGGAGCUCUGUGCUUCAAACCGUCUUCGGACAAUCUCUGACAACUUGACCUCAAAUCGAGUAGGACUACCCGCUGAACUUAAGCAUAUCAAUAAGCGGAGGA